CCUACGGGUGGCAGCAGUGGGGAAUCUUGCACAAUGGGCGAAAGCCUGAUGCAGCAACGCCGCGUGUGUGAUGAAGGUCUUCGGAUCGUAAAGCACUUUCGGCCGGGAAGAAUAAGCUCGUGGCUAAUAUCCACGGGCCCUGACGGUACCGGCAGAAGAAGCAACGGCUAACUCUGUGCCAGCAGCCGCGGUAAUACAGAGGUUGCAAGCGUUGUUCGGAAUUAUUGGGCGUAAAGCGCGUGUAGGCGGGAUGGCAAGUCGGGUGUGAAAUCCCUCAGCUUAACUGAGGAAGUGCGCCCGAAACUACCGUUCUUGAGUGCCGGAGAGGGUGGCGGAAUUCCCGGUGUAGAGGUGAAAUUCGUAGAUAUCGGGAGGAACACCAGUGGCGAAGGCGGCCACCUGGACGGACACUGACGCUGAGACGCGAAAGCGUGGGGAGCAAACAGGAUUAGAUACCCUGGUAGUC
RNAcentral lists this ribosomal RNA (466 nucleotides) under uncultured bacterium. RNAcentral describes it as "bacterial SSU rRNA". It matches the Rfam family "Bacterial small subunit ribosomal RNA", at positions 338 to 795 of the family's 1533-position model. The record is from RNAcentral.